GUGAGGAAUUUUCCGCAAUGGGCGAAAGCCUGACGGAGCAAUGCCGCGUGAAGGAUGAAGGCCUAUGGGUUGUAAACUUCUUUUCUCAGAAAAGAAUUAUGACGGUAUCUGAGGAAUAAGCAUCGGCUAACUCUGUGCCAGCAGCCGCGGUAAGACAGAGGAUGCAAGCGUUAUCCGGAAUGAUUGGGCGUAAAGCGUCUGUAGGUUGUUUAAAAAGUAUUCUGUCAAAGAUUAGGGCUUAACCCUAGAUAGGCAGAAUAAACUUUUAAGCUAGAGUUUGGUAGAGGCAGAGGGAAUUCCCGGUGGAGCGGUGAAAUGCGUAGAUAUCGGGAGGAACACCAAAGGCGAAGGCACUCUGCUGGGCCAAUACUAACACUGAGAGACGAAAGCGAGGGAGCAAAUGGGAUUAGAUACCCCUGUAGUCC
This 425-nucleotide ribosomal RNA is filed under the name uncultured bacterium. RNAcentral's name for it is "partial 16S ribosomal RNA". It matches the Rfam family "Bacterial small subunit ribosomal RNA", at positions 354 to 796 of the family's 1533-position model. The record is from RNAcentral.